GCAUAUCAAUAAGCGGAGGAAAAGAAACCAACAGGGAUUGCCUCAGUAACGGCGAGUGAAGCGGCAACAGCUCAAAUUUGAAAUCUGGCCCUAGGCCCGAGUUGUAAUUUGCAGAGGAUGUUUCUGGCGAGGUGCCUUCCGAGUGCCCUGGAACGGGACGCCAUAGAGGGUGAGAGCCCCGUACGGUUGGUCGCUAAGCCUCUGUGAAACUCCUUCGACGAGUCGAGUAGUUUGGGAAUGCUGCUCUAAAUGGGAGGUAUACGUCUUCUAAAGCUAAAUACCGGCCAGAGACCGAUAGCGCACAAGUAGAGUGAUCGAAAGAUGAAAAGCACUUUGAAAAGAGGGUUAAAUAGUACGUGAAAUUGUUGAAAGGGAAGCGCUCAUGACCAGACUUGGGCCGGUUGAUCAUCCGCCGUUCUCGGCGGUGCACUCUGCCGGCUCAGGCCAGCAUCAGUUUGGUCCGGGGGAUAAAGGUGUAGGGAAUGUGGCUCCCCCCGGGGAGUGUUAUAGCCCUGCGCGUAAUACCCUGGACUGGACUGAGGUUCGCGCAUCUGCAAGGAUGCUGGCGUAAUGGUUAUCAGUGACCCGUCUUGAAACACGGACCAAGGAGUCGUCUUCGUAUGCGAGUGUUCGGGUGUCAAACCCCUACGCGUAAUGAAAGUGAACGUAGGAGAGAGCUUCGGCGCAUCUCCGACCGAUCCUGAUGUUCUCGGAUGGAUUUGAGUAAGAGCAUACGGGGCCGGACCCGAAAGAAGGUGAACUAUGCCUGUAUAGGGUGAAGCCAGAGGAAACUCUGGUGGAGGCUCGCAGCGGUUCUGACGUGCAAAUCGAUCGUCAAAUAUGGGCAUGGGGGCGAAAGACUAAUCGAACCUUCUAGUAGCUGGUUUCCGCCGAAGUUCCCC
RNAcentral lists this ribosomal RNA (902 nucleotides) under Hydropisphaera fungicola. RNAcentral describes it as "LSU rRNA". It matches the Rfam family "Eukaryotic large subunit ribosomal RNA", at positions 38 to 972 of the family's 3401-position model. Lineage: Eukaryota; Fungi; Ascomycota; Sordariomycetes; Hypocreales; Bionectriaceae. The record is from RNAcentral.